Oncorhynchus tshawytscha (Chinook salmon) is the source of this 1008-nucleotide long non-coding RNA. NCBI's taxonomy places the organism in Eukaryota, Metazoa, Chordata, Actinopteri, Salmoniformes, Salmonidae. The record is from Ensembl.
GUGUUUAUUAAACAGAAAUGCAUAAAGGAAUCACACUUCAUAGUCAAUGUCUGGGAGUUCCAUGAAAUACCUGAUCGACUGAAAAGUGAAUUAAUGAAUUUAAAGGAUAUACAUUGUACUUAUGAUGUUUGGGGAAUCCAGUGUUGGGAAAGGUACCCAAUUGUCAUACUUGAGUGAAAGUAAAAAUACCUUAAUAGAAAAUAAAGUUACCCAGUUAAAUACAACUUGAGUAAAAGUCUAAAAGUAUUUGGUUUUAAAUAUACUUAAGUAUCAAAAGUUUUAUGUAAUUGCUCAGAUAUACUCAACAGUAAAAGUAUAAAUCAUUACAAAAACCUUAUAUUAAACAAACCAGACCGCCACCAUUUUCUUGUUUACUUUAUUUACGGAUAGCCAGGGGUACACUCCAACACUCAGACAUCUUUAUAAACUAAGCAUUUGUGUUUUGUGAGUCCACCAGAUCAGAGACAGUAGGGAUGACCAGGGAUGUUCUCUUGAUAAGCGUAUGAAUUUAUCCAUUUUCCUGUCCUGCUAAGCAUUCAAAAGGUAAUUUUUGGAUGUCAAGGACAAUGUAUGGGGUAAAAUGUACAUUAUUUUCUUCAGGAAUUUUGUGAAGCAAAAGUAAAAGUUGUCAGAAAUAUAUAUAUAGUAAAGUAAAGUACAGAUACCCCCAAAAACUGUUUAAGUAGUACUUUUCACCUGUUUAACGUCCACCUGGGGCAGGGGCUGGGGCUGGGGCAGGGGCUGGGGCAGGGGCUGGUGCUGGGACAGAGGCAGCAAACAGUUUAAGUAGAAGUUGAAGUAGCUGAUUUGAAUUCAACUGUGGCAGGGAGGGCAGAAAGGAACCAGCCUAAAUAGGAAAAGAAAACAGCAGUUUUUUUCUCAUUCAAUGUCCUUUUGAUAUACACACCACACAUGGAAUCAUAUCUCAGAAUAUUCACAUAUGUUUCAUACACAUUGAUGUUCACUACUAUAUGUUAAAUCAUUUCUGCUCAUAAUCUGUGGAGCUAU